UACGUAGGGUGCGAGCGUUAAUCGGAAUUACUGGGCGUAAAGCGUGCGCAGGCAGUUCGUUAAGUCAGCUGUGAAAGCCCCGGGCUCAACCUGGGAAUUGCGGUUGAAACUGGCGAACUAGAAUCUGGCAGAGGGGGGUGGAAUUCCACGUGUAGCAGUGAAAUGCGUAGAGAUGUGGAGGAACACCGAUGGCGAAGGCAGCCCCCUGGGCUAAGAUUGACGCUCAGGCACGAAAGCGUGGGGAGCAAACAGG
This 253-nucleotide ribosomal RNA is filed under the name uncultured bacterium. Its description in RNAcentral is "partial 16S ribosomal RNA". It matches the Rfam family "Bacterial small subunit ribosomal RNA", at positions 524 to 776 of the family's 1533-position model. The record is from RNAcentral.